CCUUCGAUAGCUCAGUUGGUAGAGCGGGGGACUGUAGAUUUAUAAUUGUGAUCCCUAAGUCGCUGGUUCGAAUCCGGCUCGAAGGA
Molecule: transfer RNA, 86 nt
Filed under: Nematostella vectensis (starlet sea anemone)
Lineage: Eukaryota; Metazoa; Cnidaria; Anthozoa; Actiniaria; Edwardsiidae
Rfam family: tRNA
About the family: Transfer RNA (tRNA) molecules are approximately 80 nucleotides in length. Their secondary structure includes four short double-helical elements and three loops (D, anti-codon, and T loops).
Source: Rfam by way of RNAcentral